This 253-nucleotide ribosomal RNA is filed under the name uncultured bacterium. Its description in RNAcentral is "partial 16S ribosomal RNA". It matches the Rfam family "Bacterial small subunit ribosomal RNA", at positions 524 to 776 of the family's 1533-position model. The record is from RNAcentral.
UACGAAGGGGGCUAGCGUUGCUCGGAAUCACUGGGCGUAAAGCGCACGUAGGCGGACUCUUAAGUCGGUGGUGAAAUCCUGGAGCUCAACUCCAGAACUGCCUUCGAUACUGGGAGUCUCGAGUCCGAGAGAGGUGAGUGGAACUGCGAGUGUAGAGGCGAAAUUCGUAGAUAUUCGCAAGAACACCAGUGGCGAAGGCGGCUCACUGGCUCGGUACUGACGCUGAGGUGCGAAAGCGUGGGGAGCAAACAGG